RNAcentral lists this transfer RNA (63 nucleotides) under Taeniothrips tigris. Its description in RNAcentral is "tRNA-Phe". It matches the Rfam family "tRNA". Rfam says of the family: Transfer RNA (tRNA) molecules are approximately 80 nucleotides in length. The record is from RNAcentral. Lineage: Eukaryota; Metazoa; Arthropoda; Insecta; Thysanoptera; Thripidae.
GCUCUUUUAGCUUAAUGUAAAGUAUAAUAUUGAAAAUAUUAAGAUAUUUUAAAAUUUAGAGCA